GUCUACAGCCACACCACCCUGGACGUGCCCGAUCUUGUCUGAUCCUGGAAGCUAAGCAGGGUCGGGCCUGGUUAGUAACUGGUUGAGAGAUUUCAUAGGUAAAUCAUUUCUAAAUAUU
This 118-nucleotide ribosomal RNA is filed under the name Camelus bactrianus (Bactrian camel). RNAcentral also lists the same sequence under 2 other names. The record is from RNAcentral. Lineage: Eukaryota; Metazoa; Chordata; Mammalia; Artiodactyla; Camelidae.